CAUGAGAGAUUGAGAUCAUUCUUCUCUCUUGAAUUGAGAUCUCCAAUUUGGAAUCCAUCAACAUCUCCAAAAAGCAUUCCUUUGGGUUGAAACAUGUGUUUUGUGAUUCAAAUCAAGGUCUUCAGUUUGGUUCAUAGUAACAGCAGAUAUGCAUGCAGCAUAUAUAAUUUUAGGUAGAAGGAAUACUCCAUUAAAAGGGUUGGCAGUCAAUCAUGAAGGAACAGAACACAUGAACAGGUCCAAAGUGGUGAAGUUUGGUACAAGAAUAAUUUCCUUUGAUGGGAAGGCCAGAUAGGACAAGCAUGGAGAUUGAACGGAAGACAUGAUAGACCUCAAAAGAGGAUUGGAACCCGAGACUGUGCUGUGUCUUUGUGAAUUCUGAUAUCAUGUGAACUUAAAGGCAAGUGUUCUCGAGUUCUCAAACAUGAAGUUUGCAGAAUGCCUUCUGAAGGAUCAAACUGUGCUUCCAGAUCAGAACCAAGAGUUUCAUUCCAAGGGGAGUGCAAAGACAGCAACGAAGAGGGGAUAGAGAGAGAGAGAGAGAGAGAGAGAGGAAUACCAGCAGCUAGUUCAUGUGAAGACAACAUAGAACAACAUGCUACACCAGUGCCAUCAGAACCAGAUCAAACAUGGUGCUCAAGGCAUGCAAUUGAUCUUACCAGGAAGAUCCCAUGGUUCGCACUUGUUGAGAUCAACAUCCACCAUCACAGCACUGCCAUGGAAGCUACCGCGGCCGCCGUCUCCGGCGAGCUUCACCGCGAGGUAAUCGCAGACGAGCUCGUCGUCCCUCGGGUGGAACCUGAAGCCCGGAGGCAGCUCUGCCUCCACCAUGCUCAACAUGCUCAUGGUGGUGUUGAUGAGAGGCAAACCACCGAGUAGAAUGAUGGAGUAUAUUAAAACUAAGUGGAGUAGGUGUUGUGUAUUAAUGAGGCCACUAAGUCAACUUUUGUAGGGGAGUUAGCAUGGGAUGGUUUGGAGUUUCAUCCAUAGGGAAGGGAAUGAACAAUGUCACAUACUUUUCUUCUUCCAUCUUCCCCACUUGAUGGUGACAUGGGGAUUGAUUAUUCCUUAAUCUAAUGUAGUUUAUUUGUUGAUUCAUUGCAUAGAAACUCUUUUUAUAUGGA
Long non-coding RNA from Musa acuminata AAA Group (dessert banana), 1124 nucleotides. RefSeq lists it as uncharacterized. The transcript is spliced from 2 exons. The record is from RefSeq and is a predicted model, not a curated record. NCBI's taxonomy places the organism in Eukaryota, Viridiplantae, Streptophyta, Magnoliopsida, Zingiberales, Musaceae.